Molecule: ribosomal RNA, 750 nt
Filed under: uncultured bacterium
Lineage: Bacteria
Description: bacterial SSU rRNA
Rfam family: Bacterial small subunit ribosomal RNA
Source: RNAcentral
GAUGAACGCUGGCUGUGUGCCUAAUACAUGCAUGUCGAGCGAAGCACUUUUGUGCUUAGCGGCGAAUGGGUGAGUAACACGUACUUAACCUACCCUCAAGAUUGGGACAACACUUGGAAACGAGUGCUAAUACCAAAUACGUAUUUUUAUCGCAUGAUAGAUAUAUAAAAGGAGCUUCGGCUUCACUAGAGGAUGGGAGUGCGCUACAUUAGUUAGUUGGUAGGGUAAUGGCCUACCAAGACUAUGAUGUAUAGCGGGGCCGAGGGGCUGAUCCGCCACACUGGGACUGAGAUACGGCCCAGACUCCUACGGGAGGCAGCAGUAGGGAAUUUUCCACAAUGAACGAAAGUUUGAUGGAGCGACACAGCGUGCAGGAUGAAGGUCUUCGGAUUGUAAACUGCUGUUAUAAGAGAAGAAAAACCCUGGUAGGUAAUGACCAGGACUUGACGGUACCUUAUCAGAAAGCGACGGCUAACUAUGUGCCAGCAGCCGCGGUAAUACAUAGGUCGCAAGCGUUAUCCGGAAUUAUUGGGCGUAAAGAGUUCGUAGGUGGUUUUGUAAGUCUGAAGUUAAAUACCGGGGCUCAACCCCGGCCCGCUUUGGAUACUGCAAAACUAGAGUAAUAGAGAGGUUAGUGGAACUCCAAGUGAAGCGGUGGAAUGCGUAGAUAUUUGGAAGAACACCAAUGGCGAAGGCAACUAACUGGAUAUUAACUGACACUGAGGAACGAAAGCGUGGGUAGCAAACAGG